GUCCCCGUAGUUCAACUGGAUAGAACAAGCCCCUCCUAAGGGUUAGAUCCGGGUUCGAGUCCCAGCGGGGGCACCA
This 76-nucleotide transfer RNA is filed under the name Mesosutterella sp. RNAcentral describes it as "tRNA-Arg". It matches the Rfam family "tRNA". Rfam says of the family: Transfer RNA (tRNA) molecules are approximately 80 nucleotides in length. Their secondary structure includes four short double-helical elements and three loops (D, anti-codon, and T loops). Further hydrogen bonds mediate the characteristic L-shaped molecular structure. tRNAs have two regions of fundamental functional importance: the anti-codon, which is responsible for specific mRNA codon recognition, and the 3' end, to which the tRNAs corresponding amino acid is attached (by aminoacyl-tRNA synthetases). tRNAs cope with the degeneracy of the genetic code in two manners: having more than one tRNA (with a specific anti-codon) for a particular amino acid; and 'wobble' base-pairing, i.e. permitting non-standard base-pairing at the 3rd anti-codon position. The record is from RNAcentral. Lineage: Bacteria; Pseudomonadati; Pseudomonadota; Betaproteobacteria; Burkholderiales; Sutterellaceae. RNAcentral also lists the same sequence under 2 other names.